Molecule: ribosomal RNA, 253 nt
Filed under: uncultured bacterium
Lineage: Bacteria
Description: partial 16S ribosomal RNA
Rfam family: Bacterial small subunit ribosomal RNA
Source: RNAcentral
UACGGAGGGUGCAAACGUUGCUCGGAAUCAUUGGGCGUAAAGCGCACGUAGGCGGCCUGUUAAGUCGGGUGUGAAAUCCCUGGGCUCAACCCAGGAAGUGCACUCGAAACUGGCGGGCUUGAGUACUGAAGAGGGUCGCGGAAUUCCCGGUGUAGAGGUGAAAUUCGUAGAUAUCGGGAGGAACACCAGUGGCGAAGGCGGCGACCUGGGCAGAUACUGACGCUGAGGUGCGAAAGCGUGGGGAGCAAACAGG